CCCAGCCUCUAACUCUUUUGUACUUUUAAAAAAGAUGUAUUUAUUUUAUAACUGUGGGUGUUUUGCUGUGUGCCAGGUGAAUGCAGGGCACUCACUGGCCAAGAGUGGGCGGAGCUCAGAGCUGGAGUAUCUGUGAAUUACAUGGUGCUGACUUGGGGGCUGGAGAGAUGGCUCAGUGGUUAAGAGCACCGACUGCUCUUCUUAAGGUCCUGAGUUCAAAUCCCAGCAACCACAUGGUGGCUCACAACCAUCUGUAAUGAGAUCUGACACCCUCUUCUGGUGCAUCUGAAGACAGCUACAGUGUACUUAGAUAUAAUAAUAAAUAAAUCUUUAAAAAUUAUUUUAAAAAAAGAAAAGAAAAAAACAUGGUGCUGACUUUAAACUCUGGUCCUUUGGAAGAGCAGUUAGUGCUCUUAAUCACCGGCCAUUCUCCAGGUUCUUAGACUCAAAGUCUUGAUCCUCCUGCUUUCACCUCUGAAGUGCUAGGGUUAUGGGUUAGUGAACUCACGGUUUUAAACUGCUUCUACCACCUCUGGAUGGAUGGAUGAGUGGGUGGAUGAGUGGGUGGAUGGGUGGGUGGAUGGAUGAUGGAUGGAUGGGUAGAUGGAUGGGUCGGUGGGAGGUACUUGAAAGGAUGGAUAGGUGAAUGAAUAGAUGGGUGGGCAGGUGGGUAUGAAUGGAUAGGUGGAUGCAUGAAUGGAUAGAUGAUCUGUUUCAGGCUUUCCUUUCCUUUCUUUUCUUUCUUUCUUUUUCUUUUUUCUUUUCUUUUUUUUUUUUUUUUCUUUUCGAGACAGGGUUUCCUGGCUGUCCUGGAACUCACUUUGUAGACCAGGCUGGCCUCGAACUCAGAAAUCCGCCUGCCGAUCUCAAGUGCUGGGAUUAAAGGCGUGUGCCACCACCUUUUCUGAAUCAUGGCCAUCUCCUAUUAAAAACCACAUGUCCCAUCAGUGCCUGUGCGAAUUUGGUUAGAAGAUGAGUUUUAUGUUUAGAAAAGAGAAACUAGGAGGAGGAGACAGGGGAGGGGCGGGGAGGGGCAGAGAGACAGGGGAGCAGGACACCUGGACAGAGGACUCCCAAGGGAGCAUAGGUGUGCAAGCCACAGACAGAGCAACUGAGGAGCGCACUCUCCUCAGCCAGACAGUGGAGUACGUCUGUCUCUGGGCCCAGGUCUGAAAUCCUACCCUCAGGUGGCUGAGAGCCUAGGGAGGCCCCCGACAGGGCUGCGGUUCGGAUGAGGACAGCGAUUGUGCAAGAAUGGACAGCCUUGCCCCAGCCUGUGUCUCCCGGCCUGAGUCAUAGAGAAAGGAAGGAGACAGCGAAAAGCCCGAAGCCCCCUUGGAUAUCACGCCGCCAAGGCCUCCAGUGUGACGUGGUGACGUCAUCACGGAUGAGCUCAGCAGAGACACCUGAGGACAAGGGGCUUGGCUCAAGGAGUACAGGUGGGGCAGGCAGUGACUGAUAAACUCAGGAUGGGCCUCCCGGAGAAACACCAGAUUCUAGAUGCCAGCCUAGCCUUCGAAAGAGGAAGCUUGGAGGAGGGAACAAAGCUGCUUACUUGCCACCUCAGGUCACGUGUCCUCAACUCAUCACAGAGCCCAGAAAGGUUUCCCUAGCGAUUAGCAAAGAAACUCACUGAAGGUCUCCAAUUGGCCCUGCUUGGACCAAUCACCCCGGUUCGACGUCGGGAACUUUAUUGCCUGUUCUGGGUCUCAAGGCAAACACAUGUUCUGGGAUUGUAGGCAUGCUGACGUGGUUCAUGCAGUGCAGAGGAUUGUUUUGGGCCAAGGUUGGAAGGUAGCUCAGUGGGUAAAGUACCAGCGGCCCAAGCCUAGUGACCCUAGUUCUAGCCCAAGAACCCACAACCCCUGUUUUUGUUUGUAAUUAACAAACUUCUACAGUGAGAUUCGAACCCAGGUCAGGAGAACCCUUCCUGGCGCUCAUGAGUCAGCUUGCCUGCACACUAGCAUUGCUUGCACACUAGCAUUGCUUGCACACUAGCAUUGCCUGCACACUAGCAUUGCCUGCACACUAGCAUUGCCUGCACACUAGCAGAGCAAGGACCACAGGACAAGCUGACUUCAGAGGCCACUGAGUUUUAUCUUAUUUUAUUUGUUCCACCCCUGAGUGUUUAUUUCCCCAUCAUUGGCUGUGUGCCCUAGGGGUCAGGAGCCAGCAGUCAGGGAGGAGUCACUUCCGGGCUCUUCCAAAAUCCCACACGGAUCCUCAGAAUUGGCCAAGAGCUGCUUCAGCGAUUCCCAGGAAAUGCCAAGGAAAGAGCUGUGGUAAGCUCCAGGCUGCCCCAGGACAGCCUCCAUAAGGAGUCCUCAUUAUUAGGUCAAGAGAGAAAAAACAAGCCGAGGGCUUCUCUCCUGUUCCUGCACAUGACUCCUGGCCAGUGGCCAGGGAGGGAUAACAAGCUUAUCCCUCAAGGUCAAAGAAACCCUGGGCCUCUCCCAUAAGAAGCCCAUACCCAGGGCUAGAGAGUUGGCUCAGACCUUCACAGUAAUGGCUGCUCUUGCAGAGGACCUGGAUUUUAUUUCAGGUACCCGAAUGACAGUUUACAAAGGUUUGUAACUCCAGUUCCAGGGGACCCAGCACCCUCUUCUGGCCUCCAUGUACACUGUGUACCUGUGACAGAGACAUAUAUGUAGCCAAAACACCCAUGUGUGGUCACGUGCACACGCACACACACAAAUAAGUAGAUCUGAAAAAGU
Mus musculus (house mouse) is the source of this 2714-nucleotide long non-coding RNA. RefSeq annotates it as predicted gene, 57831. The record is from RefSeq and is a predicted model, not a curated record. The transcript has 3 exons. NCBI's taxonomy places the organism in Eukaryota, Metazoa, Chordata, Mammalia, Rodentia, Muridae.